GACGAACGCUGGCGGCGUGCUUAACACAUGCAAGUCGAACGGAAAGGCCCUGCUUUUGUGGGGUGCUCGAGUGGCGAACGGGUGAGUAACACGUGAGUAACCUGCCCUUGACUUUGGGAUAACUUCAGGAAACUGGGGCUAAUACCGGAUAGGAGCUCCUGCUGCAUGGUGGGGGGUGGAAAGUUUCGGCGGUGGGGGAUGGACUCGCGGCUUAUCAGCUUGUUGGUGGGGUAGUGGCUUACCAAGGCUUUGACGGGUAGCCGGCCUGAGAGGGUGACCGGCCACAUUGGGACUGAGAUACGGCCCAGACUCCUACGGGAGGCAGCAGUGGGGAAUAUUGCACAAUGGGCGGAAGCCUGAUGCAGCAACGCCGCGUGCGGGAUGACGGCCUUCGGGUUGUAAACCGCUUUCGCCUGUGACGAAGCGUGAGUGACGGUAAUGGGUAAAGAAGCACCGGCUAACUACGUG
This 468-nucleotide ribosomal RNA is filed under the name uncultured bacterium. RNAcentral's name for it is "partial 16S ribosomal RNA". It matches the Rfam family "Bacterial small subunit ribosomal RNA", at positions 28 to 507 of the family's 1533-position model. The record is from RNAcentral.